AUCCUCUUUGGUUCCUAAGUGUGAUGAUUGGGUGUUCUCACUACUGUGUGAGAUGUGGCCCCCUCCAAACCUAGGCACAUUACCCAUCUGAUG
Molecule: small nucleolar RNA, 93 nt
Filed under: Sciurus vulgaris (Eurasian red squirrel)
Lineage: Eukaryota; Metazoa; Chordata; Mammalia; Rodentia; Sciuridae
Description: Small nucleolar RNA U13 (ENSSVLG00005012734.1)
Rfam family: Small nucleolar RNA U13
Source: Rfam by way of RNAcentral